Molecule: long non-coding RNA, 658 nt
Filed under: Cricetulus griseus (Chinese hamster)
Lineage: Eukaryota; Metazoa; Chordata; Mammalia; Rodentia; Cricetidae
Description: lncRNA (ENSCGRG00015038906.1)
Source: RNAcentral
CCUGGGGCCACUCGGCUCCCAGUCCUUGGGCUGGGCAGAGAAAUGAAAUACGGGUGCUCUGCACAGCAGUGAAGACAGGGCAGAUGGCGUUUCUGGAGUCAGUUGCUCAUACCGGGGUCAGGCAUCAGGGUUAGGGACAUAUAGGGUGUUUGUUUUCCAGACCCAAGGCUCAGAGAGAGGCCUGUGGGUCCCUGUGUCCCUGUGCAUUUAUCUUCAGGAGUUCCAGGAUGGGAUCCCCACCUUACCAAAUGCACUGGGGCCAGAAUUCUGGGAGUCAGAGACCCGGGCCCGAGGAAGACCCGCAGCAGUCUCGGGCUUGGGGCGCUCACAGAUGUGGGGGUAUUAGCUCACGACACUUGAUGCCAAGGAAACUCGCAGGUACCCACUCCUCCAAGGACACACUUGGGGAGGAGGAGGACCCGCAGGGCGCAAGUGCACCUGCGGCCCCUGAGAGCCUGCCCUGGCUGGCCCCACCCCGCCCCCACUCCUCCCAGUGGUUUCUCAGGCUGUUUUUGGAAGUGGCGGCGCUUACUAGUGAGCCUCGCCCGCCCCUCCUUCAGCACCACAGACAGGACCGAGGCGCCCCGCCCGGAAUCCGAUGCUUCGAGCUUCUGGGCUGCGAGACGGUUGCUAUGGAAACGAGGCAACAAAGGGAGGC